UAAUGGGUCAGAAAGAGGGGGCAGAAGAGGAGAGAGAAAUCUUCACCAAACAAACAGCCAGGCCAUCUGGGUGGAGUUGCUUAAGGCAGUCACAAAAAAAUGAUCACAUCAUUUACCUCUCAUUUAACAAGGGCAGAGCAGGGAUACUAGCUGUGAGACACUUCUGCUCCGGGAAAGACCGUUCCUGAUUGUGGUUAUGGAGGAGGUGUCUUCAAAAGCAUCAAGGAAAAAAUAUCAAAUAAUUGUAUUUGUUUGACUGAAGACUUAUCUGGAUACAGGAGGGCAAGAAUCUUCUGUUCCAUAUGCAACAUCUUCUGGCAGCCUUGUCCUUUUUCUGUCCUUGACGACUACAAUAACAAACAGCUGUUGCCGAGGCAUUGCUGUUGACGUGUUACCUUUGAAACCUCCCUCCUGUUAUGGAAUAAGCCUCUUCCAGAUCAUGGCUCAUUAUCAUCUAGUCUGACAAGCAGCCUUGUUGCCACGGAGACCCAAAGGGAUCAGGCGUGGCAUUUGCCUGCAUCAUCACCCCCUCCAGGGGAACUAUAAGGACUCUUCUGUGCGUCAUGCGUGGCUGUCCUGGGACUGGCUGCCACCAGACUUUUCCUGCGGGUAAAACCUAAACAAAUGAUCAGCUGCAGAUAAUAUCAAGACCUCUGUUUGAUAUGUUAAUAGUGACAGCCAGAUUUCCACAAUUAACAACGAGGUGGGAAGAAAACACUGUAGUCACCAGACUUGGGAGGAGAGGGUUUGUAUUCACAUAAACACAACCUCACGUCACUGCUUGCCACCACAAAGGGCUCUGUUCACUGUUUUGUUCUCAAAGAUCAUCCUUGCGCUCAUCCUCUGAUCUUGAAUUUCUACAUAACUUUCUCAGUUUAUAUGCCCUGUGGCAAGUGCAGCAAGCACUGUUUCCUGUUUCUAAACUUGUAGAAAAUCAUCCAUACAUCUUACAGUUGUCAGUUUUAACCAGAUAACAGUGGCACUUUGUUGCUGCUUUUUUAUCUUUAGCUUAGGUUAACAGGACCCUGGAAGUAAAGUUGUUGAUUUAUUCAAUAGAGUAUUCUCAAUUAAUUUGGCUAGAUUUCUACAUGAUUCAAAAUCUAAAAAAGUAGAAAUGCAUGCUUACAUGUCUAAGGCCUGAAAAAUUGGUAGUGACAUCCCAAAAUAAAUGAAGGUUUUAAAACAAUAA
RNAcentral lists this long non-coding RNA (1189 nucleotides) under Homo sapiens (human). Its description in RNAcentral is "HSALNT0337292". Lineage: Eukaryota; Metazoa; Chordata; Mammalia; Primates; Hominidae. The record is from RNAcentral.